RNAcentral lists this ribosomal RNA (467 nucleotides) under uncultured bacterium. RNAcentral describes it as "partial 16S ribosomal RNA". It matches the Rfam family "Bacterial small subunit ribosomal RNA", at positions 28 to 507 of the family's 1533-position model. The record is from RNAcentral.
GACGAACGCUGGCGGCGUGCUUAACACAUGCAAGUCGAACGGAAAGGCCUCUUUCGGGGGGUACUCGAGUGGCGAACGGGUGAGUAACACGUGAGUAACCUGCCCUUGACUUUGGGAUAACUUCAGGAAACUGGGGCUAAUACUGGAUAGGAGCUCCUGCUGCAUGGUGGGGGUUGGAAAGUUUCGGCGGUUGGGGAUGGACUCGCGGCUUAUCAGCUUGUUGGUGGGGUAGUGGCUUACCAAGGCUUUGACGGGUAGCCGGCCUGAGAGGGUGACCGGCCACAGUGGGACUGAGAUACGGCCCAGACUCCUACGGGAGGCAGCAGUGGGGAAUAUUGCACAAUGGGUGGAAGCCUGAUGCAGCAACGCCGUGUGCGGGAUGACGGCCUUCGGGUUGUAAACCGCUUUCGCUCAUGACGAAGCUUUGUGUGACGGUAGUGGGUAAAGAAGCACCGGCUAACUACGUG